GGCCGCGGUGGGUCACGUCGGCGAGGAGCGGCAGGUCUCCCGGAUCGGUCUGCCCCGGUCCAACGCCCCGGCCGGUUCGAUCCCGGCCGCGGCGCC
Molecule: transfer RNA, 96 nt
Filed under: Paractinoplanes tereljensis
Lineage: Bacteria; Bacillati; Actinomycetota; Actinomycetes; Micromonosporales; Micromonosporaceae
Description: Actinoplanes tereljensis tRNA-Gly
Source: RNAcentral